AUUGAACGCUGGCGGUAGGCCUAACACAUGCAAGUCGAGCGGAUGAAGGGAGCUUGCUCCUGGAUUCAGCGGCGGACGGGUGAGUAAUGCCCAGGAAUCUGCCUGGUAGUGGGGGAUAACGUCCGGAAACGGGCGCUAAUACCGCAUACGUCCUGAGGGAGAAAGUGGGGGAUCUUCGGACCUCACGCUAUCAGAUGAGCCUAGGUCGGAUUAGCUAGUUGGUGGGGUAAAGGCCUACCAAGGCGACGAUCCGUAACUGGUCUGAGAGGAUGAUCAGUCACACUGGAACUGAGACACGGUCCAGACUCCUACGGGAGGCAGCAGUGGGGAAUAUUGGACAAUGGGCGAAAGCCUGAUCCAGCCAUGCCGCGUGUGUGAAGAAGGUCUUCGGAUUGUAAAGCACUUUAAGUUGGGAGGAAGGGCAGUAAGUUAAUACCUUGCUGUUUUGACGUUACCAACAGAAUAAGCACCGGCUAACUUCGUG
RNAcentral lists this ribosomal RNA (484 nucleotides) under uncultured bacterium. RNAcentral describes it as "partial 16S ribosomal RNA". It matches the Rfam family "Bacterial small subunit ribosomal RNA", at positions 30 to 507 of the family's 1533-position model. The record is from RNAcentral.